RNAcentral lists this long non-coding RNA (1063 nucleotides) under Salmo salar (Atlantic salmon). RNAcentral describes it as "lncRNA (ENSSSAG00000114622.1)". The record is from RNAcentral. Lineage: Eukaryota; Metazoa; Chordata; Actinopteri; Salmoniformes; Salmonidae.
UAUAUGUGUGCACUUAGGUUUUAGAUUGACACCCACAUACAGUAUGGUAGUUAGUUCUAAAUGCUUGGAACUUUUUCUCUCCUGUUCGCUGGAUUGGCUACACUAGUUGUGAUUUUACAUUUUUUACAAAAAGUAGAACUGUUCAGCAUUAAGUGAAUCAAUGUGCAUUUAUUUUUUGUUUUCAUUCAGCACUUACUGAAGUAGUAGUGAAAUAUUAAAGAUAGUUUGAUCUUCUGUGAAUCACGUUGCUUGAAGUACUUGAUUUAUUGAUUAGUAUGGGGAACAUUCCAGCUGAUGUAAAUAUUGAAUGCCCAUGAAUUUGUAUACACACACACACACACACACACACACACACACACACACACACACACACACACACACACACACACACACACACACACACACACACACACACACACACACACACACAGAGAUUAGUGAGACACCAGUGUGUUACCUACGAGGAGACCCCAGCGGCUUACACACACACAGUCAUACACAUUUAAACAUGGAAAGAGUUAAUUCUGGGCAAUGACGUCAGUUCAUCAACAAAACAAAAUCUAUUAAAUGCUUGUACACACAGAUAUCCAGAACUCUGAAAAAUGCACCUUAUGUUUCCUAAAUUUUGGGGGUACUAUCCAAUAAUGCUGUAUAUCAAUUUUGGAACUGGGAUUUGGAAUCCAAUUGCUUUUAAAAACCUGUUUGCGAAUAAACAACCUAAACGAACAGAGCAUUAAGCCAGUCACUCAUGUGUGUAUAUCUGUAUUUUGUAUGGUGUGUAUAAGAUCUGUGUAAUUUACUCUUUGGACAUUUUUGUCACUAGUCCUUGGUAUUCACCUAACUGUAUUAACAUGUCUUUAAAAUCUAAGGUAUCAAAGCACAAAUCAUAGUACAGAAACAAAAAAACAAAAAAAAUGUUAAACAUACAUAAAAAGGGUAACAUUGUGAUGUUCAGUGGAAAGUACAAUAUCAUGGAAGACCCCAGUUUCAAAAAUUAAUCACAGUGCAGGUGGAAAUAAAACGGAUUGUUGUUUUCAAAUAAAUACCACUACAAUAAAAUGUC